AGCGAACGUUUGCGGCGGGCCUAACACAUGCAAGUCGAACGAGAUCUCGGGCUUCGGUCCGGGUGAAAGUGGCGCACGGGUGCGUAACACGUGGGUAAUCAACCCUCUGGAUCGGGACAACCCGGGGAAACUCGGGCUAAUACCGGAUACGUCGUCGGAGCUCUAGGGCUCUGACGGGAAAGGCCUGCAAGGGCUACCAGAGGACGAGCUCGCGGCCCAUCAGCUAGUUGGUGAGGUAAUGGCUCACCAAGGCGAAGACGGGUAGCUGGUCUGAGAGGAUGAUCAGCCACACUGGAACUGAGACACGGUCCAGACUCCUACGGGAGGCAGCAGUGGGGAAUAUUGCGCAAUGGGCGAAAGCCUGACGCAGCCACGCCGCGUGUGCGAUGAAGGUCUUCGGAUCGUAAAGCACUGUGGGGGGAGAAGAACAAAGCUGGUGAAGAGCCAGCCCUGACGGUAUCCCCUUAGCAAGCACCGGCUAACUCCGUGCCAGC
This 494-nucleotide ribosomal RNA is filed under the name uncultured bacterium. Its description in RNAcentral is "bacterial SSU rRNA". It matches the Rfam family "Bacterial small subunit ribosomal RNA", at positions 29 to 512 of the family's 1533-position model. The record is from RNAcentral.